GCGGCCGUGGCGGAAUCGGUAGACGCACCAGGUUUAGGUCCUGGCGCCGAAGGGUGUGGGAGUUCGAGUCUCCCCGGCCGCACCA
Molecule: transfer RNA, 85 nt
Filed under: Burkholderiales bacterium
Lineage: Bacteria; Pseudomonadati; Pseudomonadota; Betaproteobacteria; Burkholderiales
Also listed under: 1 other name
Description: tRNA-Leu
Rfam family: tRNA
About the family: Transfer RNA (tRNA) molecules are approximately 80 nucleotides in length. Their secondary structure includes four short double-helical elements and three loops (D, anti-codon, and T loops). Further hydrogen bonds mediate the characteristic L-shaped molecular structure. tRNAs have two regions of fundamental functional importance: the anti-codon, which is responsible for specific mRNA codon recognition, and the 3' end, to which the tRNAs corresponding amino acid is attached (by aminoacyl-tRNA synthetases). tRNAs cope with the degeneracy of the genetic code in two manners: having more than one tRNA (with a specific anti-codon) for a particular amino acid; and 'wobble' base-pairing, i.e. permitting non-standard base-pairing at the 3rd anti-codon position.
Source: RNAcentral